This 72-nucleotide transfer RNA is filed under the name Mesorhizobium sp. M7A.F.Ca.US.011.01.1.1. RNAcentral describes it as "tRNA-Lys". It matches the Rfam family "tRNA". Rfam says of the family: Transfer RNA (tRNA) molecules are approximately 80 nucleotides in length. Lineage: Bacteria; Pseudomonadati; Pseudomonadota; Alphaproteobacteria; Hyphomicrobiales; Phyllobacteriaceae. The record is from RNAcentral.
UAGCGCACCUUAGAGGUGAGGGCCUGACUUUUAAUCAGUAGGUCAUGGGUUCGAAUCCCAUCGCGCUCACCA